CCAGACUCAUACGGGAGGCAGCAGCUAAGAAUAUUCCGCAAUGGACGGAAGUCUGACGGAGCGACGCCGCGUGGAUGAAGAAGGCUGAAAAGUUGUAAAAUCCUUUUGUUGAUGAAGAAUAAGGGGAAGAGGGAAUGCUUCUCUGAUGACGGUAAUCAGCGAAUAAGCCCCGGCUAAUUACGUGCCAGCAGCCGCGGUAACACGUAAGGGGCGAGCGUUGUUCGGAAUUAUUGGGCGUAAAGGGCAUGUAGGCGGCUAUGUAAGCCUGAUGUGAAAUCCUGGGGCUUAACCCUAGAAUAGCAUUGGGUACUGUGUAGCUUGAAUUACGGAAGGGAAACUGGAAUUCCAAGUGUAGGGGUGGAAUCUGUAGAUAUUUGGAAGAACACCGGUGGCGAAGGCGGGUUUCUGGCCGAUAAUUGACGCUGAGAUGCGAAAGUGUGGGGAUCGAACAGGAUUAGAUACCCUGGUAGUCCACACUGUAAACGAUGUACACUAGGUGUUGGGGCAAGAGCUUCAGUGCCAAAGCAAACGCGAUAAGUGUACCGCCUGGGGAGUAUGCCCGCAAGGGUGAAACUCAAAGGAAUUGACGGGGGCCCGCACAAG
This 603-nucleotide ribosomal RNA is filed under the name uncultured bacterium. RNAcentral's name for it is "bacterial SSU rRNA". It matches the Rfam family "Bacterial small subunit ribosomal RNA", at positions 331 to 929 of the family's 1533-position model. The record is from RNAcentral.